CCUACGGGAGGCAGCAGUGGGGAAUAUUGCACAAUGGGGGAAACCCUGAUCCAGCGACGCCGCGUGAGUGAAGACGUAUUUCGGUAUGUAAAGCUCUAUCAGCAGGGGAGUAAAUGACUGUACCUGAUUAAGAAGCCCCGGCUAACUACGAGCCAGCAGCCGCGGUAAUACGGAGGGGGCCAGCGUUAUCCGGAUUUACUGGGUGUAAAGGGAGCGUAGACGGCAGCACAAGUCUGGAGUGAAAUGUCGGGGCUUAACCCCGGAACUGCUUUGGAAACUGUGCAGCUAGAGUGCAGGAGAGGUAAGUGGAAUUCGUAGUGUAGCGGUGAAAUGCGUAGAUAUUAGGAAGAACACCAGUGGCGAAGGCAGUUUACUGGACUGUAACUGACGCUGAGGCUCGAAAGUGUGGGGAGCAAACAGGAUUAGAUACCCCAGUAGUC
Molecule: ribosomal RNA, 440 nt
Filed under: uncultured bacterium
Lineage: Bacteria
Description: partial 16S ribosomal RNA
Rfam family: Bacterial small subunit ribosomal RNA
Source: RNAcentral